This 510-nucleotide long non-coding RNA is filed under the name Vulpes vulpes (red fox). Its description in RNAcentral is "lncRNA (ENSVVUG00000001878.1)". The record is from RNAcentral. Lineage: Eukaryota; Metazoa; Chordata; Mammalia; Carnivora; Canidae.
AUGUGCGAUGUCACAGAUGCAAGUAUCAUGACAGGCCUUGAGAUCUUGCUCCAAAUCCUUCACUUGCCGAUGAGGAAGCUGAGGCCAAGGGAGGGGAACUGGUGUGCUCAGGGUCAUAGAGCAACGGGUGGCAAUGCUGAGACAAAGUCCCAGGACUCCCACCUGGAGCUUGUCUCCUGUUCUUCAUGUCCCCGAGAGAGCAGGAGACCUGUGCCCUCUACUGGAGGCUGGCAGAGGACGUGCAGUUUGAGCGCUUUGGAGCAUGACCUACUUUCUGGGCUUUUCCAGACUUCCCUGAGGAAGCCAAGGCCACCUGGCAUGUCCUGUUCAGGCCUCACUUUGGUGACCAGCUCAGCAAACCAUCUGUUACCUGAGCUCCCGGGCAAGAUGUCCCACAGAACCCUUUGUCCAGUGCCGCAGCCCCACCACUCUGCUCAGCAGUGCUCCCUGCCACCAUCUGCAGCCCGCAAAGCUGGGCCUGGGCUCCCUCACGGUAUGCCCAGCAUCUAG